GCCCCGCUCCGGGCUCAUGAAUAUGAAGCGACGCUUUACAUAUGCGGUCCCCCCGGGCCGGGGGCGCGGCGGAUUGUGGAGAAAGCAACUCAUUCCGUACGCGUUAAGGGAGCGUUUACCUGGCAAAACCGGCGCUCAGCUCCAUUUCUGACCUGCGCGGCCGCAUCGGGCAGCGCGCGCAGACAGCUUUAGCUAACAGAAAGAAGAGCUCCAGAACCGAUCAAUUUCUUCCCCAGCUGCGCAGGGAGCGGCGAGGGGACUGCCUGCUUCAUUUUAACAAGCUCAACCGCUUAGGAAAAUCUUUUAUUUACGACUGCAGCCCUAUGUGAUGCAAACUGCAAUCUUUGAGAUCAAAACAUACCGGUGCAGACCCUCAGAAAGCGUUAAUUCCAUUCACCAAUGGGAACAAAAAUGCCCUCGCACAGCAUUUCACCAAAUGAACGUGGCUGCAGAAGCCAAGUCUGAAAUACGUAAGUUCAACAGAUGUGUUUGUAUGUGCUCACAGCAGAGAGAUGCCGGCAUUCUGUGCCUAACCUUAUGUAAAGGCUGGGCCUGUGGUAUAAAUGCAUGCGAGCUUUGGAAUUGGAGCCUGCAUAACAGAACUGCAGCUCUGACUACCGUAUAAAAGCAGGUAGUAAAAGCUUAAUUACCAGUAGCAUUAUGCUGUCUAUAUUGUUAAAUGUGAACUCUAUAAUUAAGAUGUAAAUUCACGUGUGAGCAGUGAAUUAGAGAGCUCUGAAAUAUAGAGGAAAAUCCAACCACGCUGUAGAAACAUCAGCCUUAAAUAAAUAAAUAAAAAUGAAAAUCAGUUUUUAUUAAAUUUUAGAAUGAGGCAUUUAAUCAUGUCACAGUAUUAGGAUGCUCUCUGAGGAACAAUUGGAUAAAUGUGGGUUUUGGAAUCAAAUCAAAACUGAAAUAAGACAUGUUUAUUCUAUGUAUCGGCACCUCUGUAGUAUACAAACCAAAAUACAGUUCCUAUAAAUUGAUUUUCAUGUGCCCUUUGGCAAGCUAUGAAAAUAGAAUUGUAUUGUCCAUUUACAGAUUCAUAUUCAAAAAUGCUAUUUUUCAAUUUUAUACUAAAAUACUUCCAAAUCA
This is a long non-coding RNA of Centrocercus urophasianus (Greater sage-grouse), 1095 nucleotides long. RefSeq lists it as uncharacterized. The transcript is spliced from 4 exons. The record is from RefSeq and is a predicted model, not a curated record. Lineage: Eukaryota; Metazoa; Chordata; Aves; Galliformes; Phasianidae.